AACGCGAAGAACCUUACCAGGUCUUGACAUACUCGUGCUAUUCCUAGAGAUAGGAAGUUCCUUCGGGACACGGGAUACAGGUGGUGCAUGGUUGUCGUCAGCUCGUGUCGUGAGAUGUUGGGUUAAGUCCCGCAACGAGCGCAACCCCUAUUGUUAGUUGCCAUCAUUAAGUUGGGCACUCUAACGAGACUGCCGGUGAUAAACCGGAGGAAGGUGGGGAUGACGUCAAAUCAUCAUGCCCCUUAUGACCUGGGCUACACACGUGCUACAAUGGAUGGUACAACGAGUCGCGAGACAGUGAUGUUUAGCUAAUCUCUUAAAACCAUUCUCAGUUCGGAUUGUAGGCUGCAACUCGCCUACAUGAAGUCGGAAUCGCUAGUAAUCGCGGAUCAGCACGCCGCGGUGAAUACGUUCCCGGGUCUUGUACACACCG
RNAcentral lists this ribosomal RNA (433 nucleotides) under uncultured bacterium. RNAcentral describes it as "bacterial SSU rRNA". It matches the Rfam family "Bacterial small subunit ribosomal RNA", at positions 958 to 1392 of the family's 1533-position model. The record is from RNAcentral. RNAcentral also lists the same sequence under 1 other name.